UACGGGGGGAGCAAGCGUUGUUCGGAUUUACUGGGCGUAAAGGGCGCGUAGGCGGUCGUGACAAGUUACUUGUGAAAUCUCUGAGCUUAACUCAGAACGGCCAAGUGAUACUGCAGUGCUAGAGUGUGGAAGGGGCAAUCGGAAUUCUUGGUGUAGCGGUGAAAUGCGUAGAUAUCAAGAGGAACACCUGAGGUGAAGACGGGUUGCUGGGCCAACACUGACGCUGAUGCGCGAAAGCCAGGGGAGCAAACGGG
Molecule: ribosomal RNA, 254 nt
Filed under: uncultured bacterium
Lineage: Bacteria
Description: partial 16S ribosomal RNA
Rfam family: Bacterial small subunit ribosomal RNA
Source: RNAcentral